Hippocampus zosterae (dwarf seahorse) is the source of this 960-nucleotide long non-coding RNA. RefSeq lists it as uncharacterized. Lineage: Eukaryota; Metazoa; Chordata; Actinopteri; Syngnathiformes; Syngnathidae. The record is from RefSeq and is a predicted model, not a curated record. The transcript has 3 exons.
GCUGGGACCGGUGCCUCCUUUUUGAGUCUGCUACCUUGCCGUCGCAAACGAGCGACACCUCCUUCCACCCAGUAAAGACUUCCCUGCCGCCCGCCUGCAUCCCCUGAGGCUACUUUUUUUUUGUUGUUUGCUUUGUUUUUUUAAUCACUUUGGAUGUUUGGAGAGAUGAGAGCGAGCUGGGACCAGGUACAAGCAAUCAUCAUCUGUGGCAGACUCAAGCCAUUUCUGAACUCAUCUCGUGGCCUCACUCUGUCGCCCAAGCCUGCAGCUGUACACCUGCUUGGGGCUGACCUUGUUUUCUUGCCUAUCCAAAUCCUGUAUCCUUGCACCUCUCAUCAUUCUGCUCAGGUUCGCUAUGCUUUUUUUUACCCUUAAAACAACAAUAAAAAUUGUGUCUACUCUGGGGUCAUCUUCCCGCACCACAGACAAAAGUAUAAUUAGAGUCCAAUUAUGCCACAGCAGCAGCCAUAUAACUAGUACAAAGGGAAAAGGGGACUGUGAUGUACAGCAUAAUGACAUGUUUAUCAUGGGCCCUUUCUUUGACCACCAAGUCCAGAAAGUUGUCUUUUUUUGUCUCAAAGACAUCUGAAGAUUUCCAGCAUUAUAUUGUGUAGCAUCCAAAAAAAUUAAACUCCGCUGAAACAUGGAAACAAAAUGGAGUCAACCAAAACAGGCCGUGGCAAACCUGGCUUCAGAAUUACGGUCGCCCUCGUCAACAUGUUUGCUGACAUUUUUUGGUUGUUAUUGUCCACAUUCUUCUGCCGGUCAGUGACUACAAAAGAGGCAGGAGAUGAGAGUAAGAUUUUCCACCAACUGAGAGUCCAUUUAAUCUGUCUAAAAAAAUAUAUCUCAAAGCAACAGAAGAACUUGUACUCAGAACCAGAUGGGCAAGUCAGGUGUUCUGCUACUCAUUACCAUUAAAUGUCAAAGGGGUGAUUCUUUUAAUCCACACAUCUAUAC